This 205-nucleotide unclassified non-coding RNA is filed under the name Hevea brasiliensis (rubber tree). Lineage: Eukaryota; Viridiplantae; Streptophyta; Magnoliopsida; Malpighiales; Euphorbiaceae. The record is from RNAcentral.
GAAUUAAAUGUUUGGUAUGGGCCUGAUUCCUACAUGGGUGCAAAUAUUGUUGAACUGUUGCAGCAGAUGACCAAGAUGACAGAUGAAGAAAUUGCAAAGAUUCAUCCAAAACAUAAUAGGGAGUCAAUUAGAUCAUUGCUCCCUCGUCUGCACUAUUAUCAGGAAGGUACGUGCAUUGUACAUCAUCUUUUUCGGCAUGAAGUUG